This 348-nucleotide ribosomal RNA is filed under the name uncultured bacterium. Its description in RNAcentral is "bacterial SSU rRNA". It matches the Rfam family "Bacterial small subunit ribosomal RNA", at positions 917 to 1267 of the family's 1533-position model. The record is from RNAcentral.
GGGCCCGCACAAGCGGUGGAGCAUGUGGUUUAAUUCGAUGAUACGCGAGGAACCUUACCAGGGCUUAAAUGUAACGGGACAGAUCUAGAGAUAGAUCCUUCUUCGGACUCAUUACAAGGUGCUGCAUGGUUGUCGUCAGCUCGUGCCGUGAGGUGUCAGGUUAAGUCCUAUAACGAGCGCAACCCCAUCGUUAGUUGCCAACGAGUAAUGUCGGGAACUCUAACGAAACUGCCGGUGCAAACCGUGAGGAAGGUGGGGAUGACGUCAAAUCAUCACGGCCCUUACGUCCUGGGCCUACACACGUGCUACAAUGGUCGGUACAGAGAGCAGCCACUACGCGAGUAGGAG